RNAcentral lists this transfer RNA (91 nucleotides) under Phlebotomus ariasi. Its description in RNAcentral is "tRNA-Ser". The stretch from base 8 to 76 matches the Rfam family "tRNA". From Rfam's summary of the family: Transfer RNA (tRNA) molecules are approximately 80 nucleotides in length. Their secondary structure includes four short double-helical elements and three loops (D, anti-codon, and T loops). The record is from RNAcentral. Lineage: Eukaryota; Metazoa; Arthropoda; Insecta; Diptera; Psychodidae.
CCUAUUUAGUUAAUGAGCUUGAUUUAAGCAAUUGUUUUGAAAACAUUUGAUAGAAAUUAAAAUUUUCUAUUAACUUUACUAAUUUUAAUUA